CCGCAUAGCGCAGUGGAUUAGCGCGUUUGACUUCGGAUCAAAAGGUCGUGGGUUCGACUCCCACUGUGGUCGCUCCUUUUUUUCCAAUUCGUAAUGGUUCAAAGCUUUCAGGGAAGAAUUGCUUUCUUUUCAUGUUCCUUUUUUGUCACUACCAUUUUUUCUAUUUUUGUUUAUGGUACAUUUUGGUCCUUAAACUUUUCAUUCAUUUAGGUUUUGUUCCCUAUAAUUUUAUUCUUAGGUAUAUAUUUUCUAUAGCUUCAUAUCAUUUAGGUUUUGGUCCUUUAGGAACCAAUAACUAGUUAAACUAUAUGGAUUGAUUCUUUGUAAAUGUCCAAUAUCUUAUUCUGCGCUGUCUGUGUUUUGUACUACACUUCAGUGCAAGUGAUCUUGGUGCACUACAACAACUCUUGGAUGAUCAACCCAAUCUUCUUACUUAGGAAGUUAUGGCUCGAGCUUGCUAUUGUGACUGUCAGUGUGAAUACAUGUUCAUGCUGAUUCUCGUUUGGAGUUAACUGGUGCAGGUUUGCAGCAAGUUUUGGUGGUUGGACUGCUGGGACUGGGGUAGCAGGUUUGAUGGUAUAUGGCAGGUCAUGUUGAAACUGAUCCUUGGUGUUGGUUUUGUGGGUUAUGCAUGUUUGGCAAAUUGGUUCUAUGGAAUUUGGCAUGCCAAGGUACAUGGAAGCUCAUGGUGUAUGCUUGAAUCAUAUGGUGAUGGAUGGACAUAAAGAUGAAAGAGACUUGAAGAUUGGAAUAUGAAUAGGUCUAGGGUGAUGUGUUGACUUUGGUCAAAUGUUUGACCAAUAAGUCAAUAGUUGACCAAAAGUGAGCUGUAGGUCAAA
Vicia villosa (hairy vetch) is the source of this 839-nucleotide long non-coding RNA. RefSeq lists it as uncharacterized. The transcript is spliced from 3 exons. The record is from RefSeq and is a predicted model, not a curated record. NCBI's taxonomy places the organism in Eukaryota, Viridiplantae, Streptophyta, Magnoliopsida, Fabales, Fabaceae.